UGUAUGGUACCUGUGAAGUCGUAGUUCAUU
Molecule: non-coding RNA, 30 nt
Filed under: Rattus norvegicus (Norway rat)
Lineage: Eukaryota; Metazoa; Chordata; Mammalia; Rodentia; Muridae
Source: RNAcentral